CCUACGGGAGGCAGCAGUGGGGAAUAUUGCACAAUGGGGGAAACCCUGAUGCAGCGACGCCGCGUGAGUGAAGAAGUAUUUCGGUAUGUAAAGCUCUAUCAGCAGGGAAGAAAAUGACGGUACCUGAUUAAGAAGCCCCGGCUAACUACGUGCCAGCAGCCGCGGUAAUACGUAGGGGGCAAGCGUUAUCCGGAUUUACUGGGUGUAAAGGGAGCGUAGACGGCGAGACAAGUCUGGAGUGAAAGGCCGUGGCCCAACCCCGGGACUGCUCUGGAAACUGCCUGGCUGGAGUACAGGAGAGGUAAGUGGAAUUCCUAGUGUAGCGGUGAAAUGCGUAGAUAUUAGGAGGAACACCAGUGGCGAAGGCGGCUUACUGGACUGUAACUGACGUUGAGGCUCGAAAGCGUGGGGAGCAAACAGGAUUAGAUACCCUAGUAGUC
This 440-nucleotide ribosomal RNA is filed under the name uncultured bacterium. RNAcentral's name for it is "partial 16S ribosomal RNA". It matches the Rfam family "Bacterial small subunit ribosomal RNA", at positions 338 to 795 of the family's 1533-position model. The record is from RNAcentral.